GACGAACGCUGGCGGCGUGCUUAACACAUGCAAGUCGAACGGAAAGGCCCUGCUUGCAGGGUGCUCGAGUGGCGAACGGGUGAGUAACACGUGGGUGAUCUGCCCCUUACUUUGGGAUAAGCCUGGGAAACUGGGUCUAAUACUGGAUAGGACCAUGCUGUAGGUGGUGUGGUGGAAAGAUUAGUUUCGGUAAGGGAUGAGCUCGCGGCCUAUCAGCUUGUUGGUGGGGUAAUGGCCUAACAAGGCGUCGACGGGUAGCCGGCCUGAGAGGGUGGACGGCGACAUAGGGACUGAGAUACGGCCCAGACUCCUACGGGAGGCAGCAGUGGGGAGGAUUGCACAAUGAGCGCAAGCCUGAUGCAGCGACGCCGCGGGGGGGAUGACGGCCUUCGUGUUGUAAACUCCUUUCAGCCAUGACGAAUCCCUUGUGGUGACGGUAGUGGUAGAAGAAGCACCGGCUAACUACGUG
RNAcentral lists this ribosomal RNA (469 nucleotides) under uncultured bacterium. RNAcentral's name for it is "partial 16S ribosomal RNA". It matches the Rfam family "Bacterial small subunit ribosomal RNA", at positions 28 to 507 of the family's 1533-position model. The record is from RNAcentral.